Molecule: ribosomal RNA, 467 nt
Filed under: uncultured bacterium
Lineage: Bacteria
Description: partial 16S ribosomal RNA
Rfam family: Bacterial small subunit ribosomal RNA
Source: RNAcentral
GACGAACGCUGGCGGCGUGCUUAACACAUGCAAGUCGAACGGAAAGGCCCUGCUUUUGUGGGGUGCUCGAGUGGCGAACGGGUGAGUAACACGUGAGUAACCUACCCUUGACUUUGGGAUAACUUCAGGAAACUGGGGCUAAUACCGGAUAGGAGCUCCUGCUGCAUGGUGGGGGUUGGAAAGUUUCGGCGGUUGGGGAUGGACUCGCGGCUUAUCAGCUUGUUGGUGGGGUAGUGGCUUACCAAGGCUUUGACGGGUAGCCGGCCUGAGAGGGUGACCGGCCACAUUGGGACUGAGAUACGGCCCAGACGCCUACGGGAGGCAGCAGUGGGGAAUAUUGCACAAUGGGCGGAAGCCUGAUGCAGCAACGCCGCGUGCGGGAUGACGGCCUUCGGGUUGUAAACCGCUUUCGCCUGUGACGAAGCGUGAGUGACGGUAAUGGGUAAAGAAGCACCGGCUAACUACGU